AGACCCGAAACCCGGUGAUCUAGCCAUGGGCAGGUUGAAGGUUGGGUAACACUAACUGGAGGACCGAACCGACUAAUGUUGAAAAAUUAGCGGAUGACCUGUGGCUGGGGGUGAAAGGCCAAUCAAACCGGGAGAUAGCUGGUUCUCCCCGAAAGCUAUUUAGGUAGCGCCUCGUGAAUUCAUCUCCGGGGGUAGAGCACUGUUUCGGCUAGGGGGCCAUCCCGGCUUACCAACCCGAUGCAAACUGCGAAUACCGGAGAAUGUUAUCACGGGAGACACACGGCGGGUGCUAACGUCCGUCGUGAAGAGGGAAACAACCCAGACCGCCAGCUAAGGUCCCAAAGUCAUGGUUAAGUGGGAAACGAUGUGGGAAGGCCCAGACAGCCAGGAUGUUGGCUUAGAAGCAGCCAUCAUUUAAAGAAAGCGUAAUAGCUCACUGGUCGAGUCGGCCUGCGCGGAAGAUGUAACGGGGCUAAACCAUGCACCGAAGCUGCGGCAGCGACGCUUAUGCGUUGUUGGGUAGGGGAGCGUUCUGUAAGCCUGUGAAGGUGUGUCGUGAGGCAUGCUGGAGGUAUCAGAAGUGCGAAUGCUGACAUAAGUAACGAUAAAGCGGGUGAAAAGCCCGCUC
Molecule: ribosomal RNA, 628 nt
Filed under: Salmonella enterica subsp. enterica serovar Aberdeen
Lineage: Bacteria; Pseudomonadati; Pseudomonadota; Gammaproteobacteria; Enterobacterales; Enterobacteriaceae
Description: partial 23S ribosomal RNA
Rfam family: Bacterial large subunit ribosomal RNA
Source: RNAcentral